This 771-nucleotide unclassified non-coding RNA is filed under the name Hevea brasiliensis (rubber tree). Lineage: Eukaryota; Viridiplantae; Streptophyta; Magnoliopsida; Malpighiales; Euphorbiaceae. The record is from RNAcentral.
AAAUAAAUAUAUUAGGUCCAAAUUACAACUGCUUGUUUCAUCAAAACACCAUACAAAAGAUAAAUUUGUUGAUUCUUGUGAAAGGAAUGCAUGCCAAUGGCUGAUGCAGAGUCUUCUUGUCAGGGUAACCAUCCUGGCAUGUAAUUAUUCACACUUGGCCCAGCAGUCACUACUGUUAUUGGAUCAGGCUGGUAUCCAAUUUGUAAAGUGGGUUCACACCCCAGUGGAUGAAAGAAGCCAUCUCCCUGAGGUUGAGCUGCUUGGCCGCCAAACUCCACUUCUUCUGCACUUGGAUUCAACUGCAUUGAAUUUAUUUGGUAUCCUUCCACAAGCCUUUGUUUCAGGGUCUUAUUUGCUUCGUUCAGCAUGUGUUCCUUGCGUUGUAGGUCAGUGAGCUGAUCCAGCAUGCAUUGGGUCCUCGUUGAUCUGAUCUGCUUUAAUGACAUAUCAAGCUGCCUUUCAAGUGACUCAAGCUCCUUGCUGCUUAGAGGGCCAAGAUCUUCUCCCAGAAGAUUUCUUUGAGACCGUUGCAGGGCUUCAUAGCGAGCUUUUAGUUUCAGAUAUUCCUGCUGACUACUUAGCUCCAGAGCCUCCCUUGUGGAUAUAUUUGUUUCUGGUGCUCCAUAAUUGCAUUUCUGGUACCUCUCAAGUGUUUUGAGCAUGCUUGAACUACUGCAAAACUCGUACAGUUUUCCUCUAUUAGAGAAGAUGAUGAGAGCAACUUCAGCAUCGCAAAGAACCGAAAGUUCAUAAGCUUUCUUCAAAAGCCCA